GACGAACGCUGGCGGCGUGCUUAACACAUGCAAGUCGAACGGAAAGGCCUGUCCUUCCUUGUGUUGGACGGGUACUCGAGUGGCGAACGGGUGAGUAACACGUGAGUGAUCUGCCCCCAACUUGGGUAUAAGCCUGGGAAACUGGGUCUAAUUCCCGAUAGUACUGCAGGGUGGUGCCUGUGGUGGAAAACGAUUUUCUAGUGGUUGGGGAUGAGCUCGCGGCCUAUCAGCUUGUUGGUGGGGUAAUGGCCUACCAAGGCGGCGACGGGUAGCCGGCCUGAGAGGGUGGACGGCCACAUUGGGACUGAGCUACGGCCCAGACUCCUACGGGAGGCAGCAGUGGGGAAUAUUGCACAAUGGGCGGAAGCCUGAUGCAGCGACGCCGCGUGGGGGAUGACGGCCUUCGGGUUGUAAACUCCUUUCGACCGCGAGGAAGCCGCCUGGUUGGAAGGGUGGUGACGGUAGUGGUAGAAGAAGCACCGGCUAACUACGUG
This 494-nucleotide ribosomal RNA is filed under the name uncultured bacterium. RNAcentral describes it as "partial 16S ribosomal RNA". It matches the Rfam family "Bacterial small subunit ribosomal RNA", at positions 28 to 507 of the family's 1533-position model. The record is from RNAcentral.